CAAAUCAGGUAGGACUACCCGCUGAACUUAAGCAUAUCAAUAAGCGGAGGAAAAGAAACUAACAAGGAUUCCCCUAGUAACUGCGAGUGAAGCGGGAAAAGCUCAAAUUUAAAAUCUGGCGGUCUUCGGCCGUCCGAGUUGUAAUCUGGAGAAGCGUUUUCCGCGCUGGACCGUGUACAAGUCUCUUGGAACAGAGCGUCAUAGAGGGUGAGAAUCCCGUCUUUGACACGGACUACCGGUGCUAUGUGAUGCGCUCUCGAUGAGUCGAGUUGUUUGGGAAUGCAGCUCAAAAUGGGUGGUAAAUUCCAUCUAAAGCUAAAUAUUGGCGAGAGACCGAUAGCGAACAAGUACCGUGAGGGAAAGAUGAAAAGCACUUUGGAAAGAGAGUUAAACAGUACGUGAAAUUGCUGAAAGGGAAACGAUUGAAGUCAGUCGCGUGUGCUAGAACUCAGCCUUGCUUUUGCUUGGUGCAUUUUCUAGUGUACGGGCCAGCAUCAGUUUUGGCCGCCGGAAAAAGGCCUUGGGAAUGUGGCACCUUCGGGUGUGUUAUAGCCCUUGGUUGUAUACGGUGGCUGGGACUGAGGAACAUAGCAUGCCUUUACGGCGGGGCUUCGGCCACCUUCAUGCUUUGGAUGCUGGCGUAAUGGCUUUAAACGACCCGUCUUGAAACACGGACCAAGGAGUCUAACAUGCCUGCGAGUGUUUGGGUGGAAAACCCGAGCGCGUAAUGAAAGUGAAAGUUGGGACUUCUGUCGUGGAAGGCACCGACGCCCGGACCAGACCUUCUGUGACGGAUCCGCGGUAGAGCAUGUAUGUUGGGACCCGAAAGAUGGUGAACUAUGCCUGAAUAGGGUGAAGCCAGAGGAAACUCUGGUGGAGGGUCGUAGCGAUUCUGACGUGCAAAUCGAUCGUCAAAUUUGGGUAUAGGGGCGAAAGACUAAUCGAACCAUCUAGUAGCUGGUUCCUGCCGAAGUU
This 975-nucleotide ribosomal RNA is filed under the name Bjerkandera adusta. RNAcentral's name for it is "eukaryotic LSU rRNA". It matches the Rfam family "Eukaryotic large subunit ribosomal RNA", at positions 1 to 968 of the family's 3401-position model. Lineage: Eukaryota; Fungi; Basidiomycota; Agaricomycetes; Polyporales; Phanerochaetaceae. The record is from RNAcentral.